AUGGAGGUGAUGAUGCUUUGAACUACCUAUUUUAUGAGGGAAUAAAUAACAUUCCCUUGUGAUUACAAAACUACCAAUGGAUCCUUCUGAGCCUCACAUUACACACUUUUUUGCUGAAUUAUUUAAAUGUUAUCUAUUUUGGUUAGAUGUGUGUUAUUUGUGGUUAUUAUAAGAAUAGAAUUGAAAUGAAGAAGCCAUGGAGGUGAUGAUAUCCUUUUCCGAAUUAUAUGAAUGUGGACUUAUUAUAGACUACAAUUAUCUGAUCUA
Non-coding RNA from Lupinus albus (white lupine), 267 nucleotides. Lineage: Eukaryota; Viridiplantae; Streptophyta; Magnoliopsida; Fabales; Fabaceae. The record is from the annotation of a GenBank genome assembly.